Molecule: ribosomal RNA, 440 nt
Filed under: uncultured bacterium
Lineage: Bacteria
Description: partial 16S ribosomal RNA
Rfam family: Bacterial small subunit ribosomal RNA
Source: RNAcentral
CCUACGGGAGGCAGCAGUGGGGAAUAUUGCACAAUGGGGGAAACCCUGAUGCAGCGACGCCGCGUGAGGGAAGAAGGAUUUCGGUAUGUAAACCUCUAUCAUCAGGGAAGAAAAUGACGGUACCUAACUAAUAAGCCCCGGCUAACUACGUGCCAGCAGCCGCGGUAAUACGUAGGGGGCAAGCGUUAUCCGGAUUUACUGGGUGUAAAGGGAGCGUAGGCGGCGCGGAAAGUCAGAUGUGAAAGCCCAUGGCUUAACUAUGGUACUGCUUUGGAAACUGUGGAGCUUGAGUGCGGGAGGGGCAGGCGGAAUUCUUGGUGUAGCGGUGAAAUGCGUAGAGAUUAGGAGGAACACCGGUGGCGAAGGCGGCCUGCUGGAACGUAACUGACGUUGAGGCUCGAAAGCGUGGGGAGCAAACAGGAUUAGAUACCCGGGUAGUC